This 346-nucleotide ribosomal RNA is filed under the name uncultured bacterium. Its description in RNAcentral is "bacterial SSU rRNA". It matches the Rfam family "Bacterial small subunit ribosomal RNA", at positions 8 to 334 of the family's 1533-position model. The record is from RNAcentral.
AGAGUUUGAUUCUGGCUCAGGAUGAACGCUGGCGGCGUGCUUAACACAUGCAAGUCGAACGAAGCAUUUUGGAAGGAAGUUUUCGGAUGGAAUUCUUUAAUGACUGAGUGGCGGACGGGUGAGUAACGCGUGGGGAACCUGCCCUAUACAGGGGGAUAACAGCUGGAAACGGCUGCUAAUACCGCAUAAGCGCACAGAAUCGCAUGAUUCGGUGUGAAAAGCUCCGGCAGUAUAGGAUGGUCCCGCGUCUGAUUAGCUGGUUGGCGGGGUAACGGCCCACCAAGGCGACGAUCAGUAGCCGGCUUGAGAGAGUGGACGGCCACAUUGGGACUGAGACACGGCCCAA